Molecule: ribosomal RNA, 1515 nt
Filed under: Staphylococcus aureus
Lineage: Bacteria; Bacillati; Bacillota; Bacilli; Caryophanales; Staphylococcaceae
Description: 16S ribosomal RNA
Rfam family: Bacterial small subunit ribosomal RNA
Source: RNAcentral
GAGUUUGAUCCUGGCUCAGGAUGAACGCUGGCGGCGUGCCUAAUACAUGCAAGUCGAGCGAACGGACGAGAAGCUUGCUUCUCUGAUGUUAGCGGCGGACGGGUGAGUAACACGUGGAUAACCUACCUAUAAGACUGGGAUAACUUCGGGAAACCGGAGCUAAUACCGGAUAAUAUUUUGAACCGCAUGGUUCAAAAGUGAAAGACGGUCUUGCUGUCACUUAUAGAUGGAUCCGCGCUGCAUUAGCUAGUUGGUAAGGUAACGGCUUACCAAGGCAACGAUGCAUAGCCGACCUGAGAGGGUGAUCGGCCACACUGGAACUGAGACACGGUCCAGACUCCUACGGGAGGCAGCAGUAGGGAAUCUUCCGCAAUGGGCGAAAGCCUGACGGAGCAACGCCGCGUGAGUGAUGAAGGUCUUCGGAUCGUAAAACUCUGUUAUUAGGGAAGAACAUAUGUGUAAGUAACUGUGCACAUCUUGACGGUACCUAAUCAGAAAGCCACGGCUAACUACGUGCCAGCAGCCGCGGUAAUACGUAGGUGGCAAGCGUUAUCCGGAAUUAUUGGGCGUAAAGCGCGCGUAGGCGGUUUUUUAAGUCUGAUGUGAAAGCCCACGGCUCAACCGUGGAGGGUCAUUGGAAACUGGAAAACUUGAGUGCAGAAGAGGAAAGUGGAAUUCCAUGUGUAGCGGUGAAAUGCGCAGAGAUAUGGAGGAACACCAGUGGCGAAGGCGACUUUCUGGUCUGUAACUGACGCUGAUGUGCGAAAGCGUGGGGAUCAAACAGGAUUAGAUACCCUGGUAGUCCACGCCGUAAACGAUGAGUGCUAAGUGUUAGGGGGUUUCCGCCCCUUAGUGCUGCAGCUAACGCAUUAAGCACUCCGCCUGGGGAGUACGACCGCAAGGUUGAAACUCAAAGGAAUUGACGGGGACCCGCACAAGCGGUGGAGCAUGUGGUUUAAUUCGAAGCAACGCGAAGAACCUUACCAAAUCUUGACAUCCUUUGACAACUCUAGAGAUAGAGCUUUCCCCUUCGGGGGACAAAGUGACAGGUGGUGCAUGGUUGUCGUCAGCUCGUGUCGUGAGAUGUUGGGUUAAGUCCCGCAACGAGCGCAACCCUUAAGCUUAGUUGCCAUCAUUAAGUUGGGCACUCUAAGUUGACUGCCGGUGACAAACCGGAGGAAGGUGGGGAUGACGUCAAAUCAUCAUGCCCCUUAUGAUUUGGGCUACACACGUGCUACAAUGGACAAUACAAAGGGCAGCGAAACCGCGAGGUCAAGCAAAUCCCAUAAAGUUGUUCUCAGUUCGGAUUGUAGUCUGCAACUCGACUACAUGAAGCUGGAAUCGCUAGUAAUCGUAGAUCAGCAUGCUACGGUGAAUACGUUCCCGGGUCUUGUACACACCGCCCGUCACACCACGAGAGUUUGUAACACCCGAAGCCGGUGGAGUAACCUUUUAGGAGCUAGCCGUCGAAGGUGGGACAAAUGAUUGGGGUGAAGUCGUAACAAGGUAGCCGUA